Salvia hispanica is the source of this 385-nucleotide non-coding RNA. The record is from RefSeq and is a predicted model, not a curated record. NCBI's taxonomy places the organism in Eukaryota, Viridiplantae, Streptophyta, Magnoliopsida, Lamiales, Lamiaceae.
UCAUUUUUUUUCUCAAUGCAAGUUUUAUAUCUAUAAACACACGUCUUACACUCUUCAAAUCACAAUCUUCUCAUUCAUUCAAAAUCUGAGAAGAUGAGCGUAUAGAAAAUCGUGUGUUCUUCAAAAAACUUCCUGCAAUUGCAGAUUGUUCUAUUCAACAAAAGGAGAAACGAGAGAGCUCGAAUUUCAAUUCCUCUCCUGUUGCUAGCAAGUUUUCUUCCUACCAAUUAAAGGGGGGUGAACUUUUGCACAUCAUUUGAGGUUGGAACGGAAAGUCGAUUGAGGAAUUAAGCGAACGAGGUGGACUUUCUUUUCAAAUAAGGACUAUGUCCUAAGUAUGUUUAUUUUUAAUGGUGCAAAAUAUGUUUGUCAUGCCAUAUUUUUG